Raphanus sativus (radish) is the source of this 1292-nucleotide long non-coding RNA. RefSeq lists it as uncharacterized. NCBI's taxonomy places the organism in Eukaryota, Viridiplantae, Streptophyta, Magnoliopsida, Brassicales, Brassicaceae. The record is from RefSeq and is a predicted model, not a curated record. The transcript is spliced from 2 exons.
UUUUAUACUGUAUAUUUACAGACGUCCAAGCAGAAAUAUAUUAAUUUGCAACAAAAUUCAAACAUACACAUAUAUAGAUAUUUUAUAAAUAAACUUACAAAAAUUAUAAAUAUAUAAACUUGUCAAGUGAUCCUUUUUUCUGAUUUUCUCCACCAUAAAACUUCGCAAACUAACAGUCGCCUAUCUCCGGUGUGUCUGUGCACGUGCGGCUGCCGGAGGACCUCCUCCUCUUGUUUCUCAUUUUCUCUUUGUUGUUCGUCUGAUCCUUCGUCCUCUCUGAUAUGCUUGUGAUCAUGCCCUCCGGUUUUUUUACUAAUGCGAGGUCGCGCACCAUAUCUUCAAAUCAGGAGACGUUUCUUCUUCUGGUGGUUUCACAUUGAGGAUAUGAGGCAGUUAUUACGGCGGAUGGUCGGUUCUUAGGACUUCGUGGGGUAGAUCGGUUUUACCUUUUAGAUCUCCCCGGAAUCGUCGCAAUUGCAGUUGGUUAAGGUCGGUCUCAUCUCGAGAGUCUUCGACUUGUUCGCGGCUUUAAAGUGUUUUCGUUCGAUUAUAGUGGUUGGUUUCUCGGGUUACUUUGGCGUCGGCAUGGUCCAGCACCCUUUUCCCGUAGUCAGGUGAGCUCUGGUGCUUCUUCAGAUCGGAGGUGGGCCUUGGGGCAGAUGUACGCAGUAGGAGAUGGUGCUUUGUCUCAACUCUGGCCCGUGUGGAUGAUCUUGAUGCCUGUUUCAAUCCAGUCAUCCAUGGCUGCUUGUGGGCAGCUUGUUCGGCCCUUCACUUCGGAUACCUUCUUCACGGCUUCCAUUCUAGUUUUAAUUUGCUUGGGCAUAUGGCUUUGUUCGGUCUUGUCUCGUGUUGCAUCGUCAUCACAGUUUUGGUUAUUGCUCUUUGGUUUUCAAAAGCCUCAGAAGGAGAGGCGGUGCUCGGGUAUGUCAUUCCGCCUUGGUGUCUCCUUUUGGUCUUGAUCACUUCCCAGAAUCACUUUAGCUUUCAGAGUUCUUGUCGUGGUGCUUUAGACAUUCCAUUUUGGUGUUUAGUCUGGCUAGGAGGAGACUGGCGGCGCUUCCGGUCCUUUUUAUUUUUUUCAGGUUACUAGGUGAUGUAGCUAGAGCUUGCUCGAGUUGGGAUUGAGUUAGAGCAUUGGAUGGCUAUUGUGGCAAUCGCAAGGCUUCUUGUUACUCCGGAGACGUCAAGGAAAAUCCCGGCAUCCAAGACAACAAGGAGAGCCUCACUUUUCUGAGAGCCACGUCGAAAGUUGAGAACGGCAACCAAUAUCAAGGAAUAUCAAAAACAAA